AUGUUACCAUUCAGCUUGUUCCAAGAAAUGUCCAGCACACUGAGGCUCUCCAAGGUCUGCAGCCAAGGCGGAAUUGUGCCGGUGAGCGCGCAGUUCGCCAGGACAAGCACCUCCAUGCUCUUGAACCCUUUGAUGCCAUCCAUUGGCAUCGUCUCCCCCCCAUGGAAAUUGUUGGUGAGCACCAAGCUGGUCAGUUUGGGCAGGUCCUGCAAGACCUGCAAUGCCGAUGACAGGUUCGUGAAGCCGUUGCCUGUCAGCGACAGGUACAAUAGUGAACUCAAAUUCUUGAAGCUCUCCGGUAUCUGCCCAUCAAGCUUGUUCCUUGCCAGGUUCAGCGUCUUCAGCUCGGCGCACCGGGCGAGGCUAGCAGGUAUGUUACCACUCAGCUUGUUUGACCCAGCAUCGAAAGUGUUCAGCCUUGGCAGCAAGCUGAAGUUGAGUGUGAUCUCACCGGAGAGCGAAUUGUUCCUUACGCUGACCACUGUCAACAUCCGACAGCUUGACAGUGAACUGGGCAAUGUGCCAUUGAAGCCAUUGGUUGCCAAGUUUAAGGUCUCGAGCCUCCUCAGCCUCCCAAACACAUCAGGGAUGAAGCCGGUGAAUUUGUUAUAUGACAAGUCAAUCUGCACAAGCUGCGACAGGUUACCGAGGUUGUCAAGGUCACCGGAGAGGUUGUUGUCCUGUAAGCUCAGCCUCUGCAACGCAGGCACCGUGUACAGGUCACCCGGGAGGCUCCCCGCGAGGCCAUUGCCGUCGAGAGAGAGCUCGGCGAGCGCCUCGCACCGGCCGAAGCCAGCCGGGACAUCGCCAGAGAACGCGUUCCCCGAGAACCGCAGGACCGUCAGGUUCUGCGUGGCGCCACAGAGCGCGGUGGUGUUGAUGCUGCCGGAGAAGCGGUUGCCGGAGAUGUCGAGCACCGUCAGGUUCGCCGCGCCGGGGAACGCAGGGUGCGGCCCGGCGAACUCGUUGAAGGAGACGUUCACCGCCUCAAUCGCCGGGAACCCGCCGGCGGCGCCGCCGCUCGGCGGGAACGUGCCGGAGAGGGCGUUGGCGCUGAGGUCGAGCACCCGCAGCCCGGGGAGCAGGCCGAGCCCCGCCGGCGCCUGGCCGCGGAACGAGUUCCGGGAGAGGUUCAGCGCGGCGAGGCGGCUGAGGGAGGCGACGGAGGGGGAGAUGACGCCGCGGAGGCUGCGGUUGGAGAGAUCCAGCCCAACCACCCUCCCGAGGUCGCAGGACACGCCCGCCCAGGAGCAGCACGACCCGCCAUCGCCGUCGCCCCAACCGAGCAGCCCGGCGCCGGCGCCCUUCCCGUCCAGGCCGUCGGAAAAGGCCCGGAGCGCCUCCAGGUCAUCCGCAUCGCACGUCUGGUUCAGGGCGUGGGCGCCGCGGAAACGGAGCAGGACGGCGGCGACGAGCAGGAAGCCGAGCAGGCCGCAGCGGGCCCCCAUCACCGGCGAGCGGCGGCGGCGGCGGGACUGCGAAAGGCGGCUCCUUUCCUGA
Molecule: ribosomal RNA, 1500 nt
Filed under: Triticum aestivum (bread wheat)
Lineage: Eukaryota; Viridiplantae; Streptophyta; Magnoliopsida; Poales; Poaceae
Description: partial small subunit ribosomal RNA
Source: RNAcentral